ACCCAUACCUGGCAGGGGAGAUACCAUGAUCAUAAAAGUGAUUUUCCCAGGGUAAGGCUCAUCUAUUGCACUUCAGGUAUGCUGAUCCCUGUGAUUUCCCCAAAUGUGGGAAAAUCAACUACCUAAUUUAUGGUAGUGCGGGGACUGUGUGGUUUCUCCUAGUCCUUUU
Molecule: small nuclear RNA, 169 nt
Filed under: Pogona vitticeps (central bearded dragon)
Lineage: Eukaryota; Metazoa; Chordata; Lepidosauria; Squamata; Agamidae
Description: U1 spliceosomal RNA (ENSPVIG00000003066.1)
Rfam family: U1 spliceosomal RNA
About the family: U1 is a small nuclear RNA (snRNA) component of the spliceosome (involved in pre-mRNA splicing). Its 5' end forms complementary base pairs with the 5' splice junction, thus defining the 5' donor site of an intron. There are significant differences in sequence and secondary structure between metazoan and yeast U1 snRNAs, the latter being much longer (568 nucleotides as compared to 164 nucleotides in human).
Source: Rfam by way of RNAcentral